CAAUAAGCGGAGGAAAAGAAACCAACAGGGAUUGCCCUAGUAACGGCGAGUGAAGCGGCAACAGCUCAAAUUUGAAAUCUGGCCUCGGCCCGAGUUGUAAUUUGCAGAGGAUGCUUCUGGCGCGGUGCCUUCCGAGUUCCCUGGAACGGGACGCCACAGAGGGUGAGAGCCCCGUAUGGUCGGACACCAAGCCUGUGUGAAGCUCCUUCGACGAGUCGAGUAGUUUGGGAAUGCUGCUCUAAAUGGGAGGUAAAUCUCUUCUAAAGCUAAAUACCGGCCAGAGACCGAUAGCGCACAAGUAGAGUGAUCGAAAGAUGAAAAGCACCUUGAAAAGGGGGUUAAAUAGUACGUGAAAUUGUUGAAAGGGAAGCACUUAUGACCAGACUUGGGCCGGGCGGCUCAUCAGGGGUUCUCCCCUGUGCACUCCGCCCGGCACAGGCCAGCAUCGGUUCUCGUGGGGGGAUAAGACCGUCAGGAACGUAGCACUCUCCGGAGUGUGUUAUAGCCUGGCGGACGAUACCCCCGUGGGGACCGAGGUCCGCGCAUUGCAAGGAUGCUGGCGUAAUGGUCAUCAGUGACCCGUCUUGAAACACGGACCAAGGAGUCGUCCAUUAGAGCGAGCGUUUGGGUGUAAAACCCGCACGCGUAAUGAAAGUGAACGCAGGUGAGAGCUUCGGCGCAUCAUCGACCGAUCCUGAUGUUCUCGGAAGGAUUUGAGUAAGAGUUUUAACGGACGGACCCGAAAGACAGUGAACUAUGCUUGAAUAGGGUGAAGCCAGAGGAAACUCUGGUGGAGGCUCGCAGCGGUUCUGACGUGCAAAUCGAUCGUCAAAUUUGAGCAUGGGGGCGAAAGACUAAUCGAACUGUCUAGUAGCUGGUUACCGCCGA
RNAcentral lists this ribosomal RNA (888 nucleotides) under Diaporthe rhusicola. Its description in RNAcentral is "eukaryotic LSU rRNA". It matches the Rfam family "Eukaryotic large subunit ribosomal RNA", at positions 44 to 964 of the family's 3401-position model. Lineage: Eukaryota; Fungi; Ascomycota; Sordariomycetes; Diaporthales; Diaporthaceae. The record is from RNAcentral.